UCUGUGCUCGUGCUCGAACUGUCGACUGCCAUCGUCUUCAGUGUUUUUCCCCGAGCGCAUUCAUGCCUCGUGGGUGCUCUUGGUAUCCUGUGUUGCUUACCGACGCGAUGGAAUUCGAUUGUACCGUUGACCCUCUCCGCCUGAUGCCCUCUAUGGGGUAUGGGGUGGACGCCAGGCACGCUACGUGUUCCUCGCAUGCCUUGCUUUGUUGCGGGGCUGUUGAGGCCCACGGAGCUAUUGCCCGUUCUCUCGGAUGCGGAAUGUCAUGCGUGGGUGCGGGGUAUUCACCUCUGCUUGCCCAAGCUAUGCAUUUGUCCCUUGACACGAACGACUGUCGCGACCGUCUUGAUCCCGUUGUGGCCUACGUGCUGCACGGCGCUCAUGCGGUCGUCGGCGUCGUCGAGGAAUGCUACCUGGUUGAUCCUGCCAGUAGUCAUAUGCUUGUCUC
This 448-nucleotide unclassified non-coding RNA is filed under the name Mangifera odorata (kuwini mango). RNAcentral describes it as "partial miscellaneous RNA". The record is from RNAcentral. Lineage: Eukaryota; Viridiplantae; Streptophyta; Magnoliopsida; Sapindales; Anacardiaceae.